CCAGAUAUUAAUUUGAGUAAAGUAGUAAAGGAUUUUUUCCAGUGAUGUCUUUCGACCCAGAGCAGUGUACUCACCUUCAUCUUCCCAGCUCCCAGCUCCCAUCUCCAUCUCUCGAACAAACUCGGAUCGGUCGGCAUUAGUUCAAAGCUUUGUUACACGAUAUCGCUAUAUCGCUGUGUAGGCAAACCAAACAACAAAAAUCAACCAUUGGAAUGUGGAAUGUGGUAUUCAUUGACAAAAUCAGCUUUCAAAAUGAUCUCACUUGUAUGAAAAACAGUCAAACCAAAUCGAAAACCGGUUUCGUAGUCAAAUCAUUGAAGUUACAAACGUUUUUCGUUCGUUUUCCGUUUUUCCUCUUUUGACCAUGGUCUUUAUACACAUUAACAUCUGUGCGUUUUUCACGCACGUGCCUGGCUCAAAUUUAAUAACUAUAAUUACAAUGUAUGUCAAGUCGACCGAAAUUAUAUGCUGCCAGUUAACACUUUAAACGAGAGACAAGAUAAAAGCGAGGAAAAAAACUCAGAGAUCUACAAGAAGCGAGAAUAAAAAUACCUUGGGUAGCCUAAAUAUUUUCACACGCGCCGCGAGUGAAAAAAUGAUCUUAAGGUUUUAGUCUUUUUUUGUUUAACAAAAAUAGCACACAAUUAGUGGCGCUGAGUUUCUUCUCUUUUUGGGGGAACUGUAAAAUGCUUUAGAGUUAUCAAACUGGGGAUUACAUACCUUAAUAAAUAGUUUCUGCGCAGGCGCGCCCGUAUUUCUGUUCAUGUAUUGGUGUGUGGAAUGCUUAACAACAACAAAAACACAAUCUCCAUUUAACAAUCAUUAAUUUAGACGUCGUUCCAGCGAGAAAGAGAUGGAAGCGUGCGAAGGGAACGGUGGCGUUGCUCCCUCGAUGAUCACACGCUGCUGGGAAUGGCCUGGAAUCUGGAAUGGGGAACGGGAAUGGGAGUGAGCAUGGAAGCUGUGUGGGAAAGUAUGCCGCGCAGUCGCCGUCGCUGAAAUAAACAAGACCAAAAGCAGAAACAACAACAAAAUUAGGUCAACAUUUUUUCAUUCACUCUUUUUUUUGUUUGUUGCUGCCUUAUUUCGACAUACAUAUUUUGUGUGUUUAAGUUUUUAGGUAUUUUUUUUAUUAACACAAACUUUCUAUUGAGCGGGGAAUAGUUUUUGUUUUUUUUCCUGUUUAUUUUUUCUUCUUUUUUUCACUCUUUGCAGCCACACACGAACUCAGCAGACCGUAGCAUUAACCGUUAGUUUUUUAUAGCACAUUUUAUGGCAAUCCGACGGGCGGAACUUGACAAUACAAAUAUCAUUUUUAAUUGACAUUUAUGAUGUGGUAUAAAAACGCUGAGUUUGUUGCCCUGCAACUCUUUUGUUUUUCGAUAGUAAGAUUGGUGGGUUAGUGAAAAUGAGGCGGUAGAGAUUAAUUUUCCCAUCGAUAGCCUAUCGAUAUUCCAGUUAAAGGGUUCAGUUUUUCUGCUGACUACGGUUUCCACGAAGGGGGUGCAUACGAUGAACUGCAAAAUAAACGGUAUCACUAAGAGCAGUAAGAACAAACCAAGCACACUGUUAAAAAAUAUUAGUUUUCUUAAAAGAUCACGUAAAUUAAAUUUAUGGUAUUAUGUUAACAGGAUAUAUGUUUCAUUAACUAAAGAUUGGAACUAUUUUAGUUUAAUUGUAUUGAGGAGCUUUUAAGUUUCUCUUCAUUUAAUACAACUUCAGAUCUUUCAAGUUUGGAAGCAAGCGUACUAAUUUUGAUAUUUUCUUUAGCUUAUUUUUAUGAAUAGUUUCUCUUUUAAUUAUUUUUUAAAAAUAAUAUUGUUGAUAAUUUUAAAAGCUCUUUUAAAUACAAUUUUUUGUGACUCAGUAUGCUUGUACUUCAGCUUAUUGAUAAUAUAUAAAGUAUUACAACCGUUUUCAAAGGAUAUUAUUAUCGUGUCCUAACUUAAACUUCUUGUAAAUAUUUCAUUUUACGUCUUACUGAAAUUUGUUUCUAAAUCAACUAACGAAUCCUUUUUUAAGGAUAUGAUUUAUGAUAUUUGCUCUAUACAAAAAUUAUAUUUAAUUUCUUCCCCUUUUUUUUCGAAGUGAUUGCUGCUCCCUUUUCCCUUUGUUGGUGUGUUCUUGUGUCGCUCCUUUCGCUCCGCAAAACGGUUCUUCUGCCCCUCUUACUUCUCUUUCCGCGACUAUUGCCGUCUCGCCUGUCUGGCAGCCGCGGUUGACUUGUUGUUUGUGUCUCCGUCUCUCCUUCUCUUCGCCUUCUUUUUGUGCUGAGUGAUGCAACUUUUAUGACUGUUCCCGUUUCUGUUCCCAUAUUCCCGUUCUCACUACUGCUCCGAGCCAGAGCGAAGGUUAGGAUCGUUGAGAAGAAACUGGUCUCGAAAACCCACGCUCAAAUCGCAUGACUCACGCUCGAAAAAUUUCAAUUUGAAUUUCUAAAUAACACACAUAUACACAUACACAGCAUCCAAUUUCAGCCAAUAAACGAGGUUGGGUGUGUGAGUGUGUGUGAAUUCCGACUUACGAGUGUUCCCAUCGAAGGUAAGUUUUUUUUUUUUCGGGUUUUGGGAUGUCAAUGGAACCGCGAUCGGCCGACGUCAAACAGUCUAAAAACAAAAAAAACCAGUUUUGAAGACAUAUUUGCUGCUGCUGCUUCUUCUUCUUUCUGCAUUCCACACACAAAUACACUGGCACACUGAGUUCGAGUUCGAGUUUAGUUUUUCCACUUUCCCCUCCUUCCAGCGUUAUUUGAACUUUUGGAAUGCGGUUGUGUUUGCUCUUGGAACUCCUUGGAAACUGCUCUUCAUUGGAACCGUCUUCCCAGGGUUUUUUUUAGUUGGUUAAGUUAAGGGUUUUUUAUGUGUUUAAAUAUGCCAGUUAAAUAUUGACUGUUCACACUUUGGCAAUUUUCGUUCGGUUUUUUUUAUUGCGCGAAGAGCAGACGAGAGCUGCACGACCAUGCGGCUGCAGCUACAAAAAUUUACUGAAUGAAUAUUUUCUUUUCUUUUGCGCCGAUCUUUCGUCUUGGCGUUGGAAUUCGCAGCCGGCAGAGGCCGAAGCAGCGGCGGCGGCAGAGGCACGGGCGUCGACUGCGGCAGAGGCAGCGACUUCGAAAAAAGUUGUACCUUUCGAAAGUCGUUUUCGUGUGUGUGUGUGUAUCUGCUGGAUCUGCGCUGUAUCUGUGUGCUAGAAAGUUUCGAUACCGAACUAUGUUUGAAGUCGCAUGCAUAAGAAACUUACAAAACGGCAUUCCACAAACAAACUGACACUGCCCCUUCCAGACCGCCCUGCCCCCUUGCCCCACCCCCUUGCAGACCGUCUUCAGCCUUCCAAGCCGGCGAGAAAAGUAUCUGUAUCUGUACAUAUGUAUCUGUGCUACUUUUGCAUUUUGUCACCACAUCAAUGUAUAGCGCCCUCUCGCUCUCGCCCCCGAAAUUCUUCAGCCUCCUCUUCUUCUUGCCUUUUCCUAUAUGUUGUAAUCUACGGAACAAUAAAAAAUGUUGUGUGGCUUUCGUAAGUGUCUUUUUUGGAAUUUUUUUUCGUGUGUUUGUAGCUGGUGGCGUUCUUUUUUUUCGUUUUUCGUAAACAACACACACACUGGAAAAUUCGUCAUUGAACGGUAAAAAACAAAAAUUCCAACGUGUUUGACUUUGUCUCUAGACAAUCUAGCUAUCUCGCUCGAGUGUGUGGAUUUUUUCAAUUACAAGUUUGUAAAUGGAAUUUCUGAACUUUAUGUGAACGAGGUCAUUUACAACACACAAGCACACACACACACACACUUAUAAAGAAGGGCGCGGGGCUAAGGUUGUUUAGGGAAUUUUUGUUAUAUUCGUCAUGAACUUAUUUAUAGGAAAUUCCUUAGGCUUUACUUGUUAUUUAUGGCUGCAGAUCGCAGGGGGGAUAUUAUAUUAGGUCUAUAAAGCGGGGGAGUGUCGGUCGGCCGACAUGCAUAUCAAAUGCCCAUUGGGACAAUCCCCAGUUGCCUCGGAAAUAUCACGAAAACGGAACUGAAUUAGCUCCAAGUGAUCGAGGGAUUUUCAGCGGUCUAGUUCAGACAGAAAAACGAAGGUAUUUCUAGGAUAAAAUAAGUUAAAUCACUUCGAAAAAAUAUUAAUUAAAAAUACGUAACUAUGGUUGGGAAUAAAACACGGUUUAAAACUAAAAAGAUAACAAAUACAUUUUUUUAGCCUACAUAAUACUACAUUUCUUUUGAAAAAUACAUGACCUAACAAAAUGUAUUUCGUCCCGCUUACUUCCUAUCGAAAUGCCACCGAUGACGUUUUCUUCUAUAAAUACAGCAAAUGAUUCAGAUUCCUUUCCACCUUUCGUUUGAUUAGCAAUUCCUUGAAUUGAACCUGCGGGCGCCAGGCGUAUUUGUAAUCGGCCGCUAUCAAUCCAAUCAAUCCACCCAACUGUCCCGUAUCAAUGCAAUCCACUGACGAGCUUUCGUGGCCCCCGUUUCGUAGCGCCCACUCCAGUAACCAGUACCCAGUAACCAGUAACCAGUAACUCAGUGGCUGGACGAUGGUCUGAGUGAUAAGGUUUUCGGGGCGGCUACUUGACGCAAGAAUUUCUGGAAUUUCGAAAGUGUACACACACCUGUGUCCGCGGGAGUGGGGAGUCAACCUUUUGAAAAAAGGCCCAGACACAAAGCACGCGCUCAAUCUACGGCUUAUCAAAAGGCCCACGAUAGGCCCAUUUAAAGGCCAAACUAUAAAUGACAUGUGAUGCCAUGGCGACAAACAUACCAAGGGUACGUAAAACGUUUAAGUUUGAGUCACAUGGCUGACACUUAACCGGCCAAGAAAGAGAGCGCCCCAAACGGAAAUUGUAAUUUCUGUUUCUUUCUUCUGGAAAAAGAAAAAUCCAACAGCAAAAACAAAAAUAAAAUCAACAACGGGGCAACGGAGAUUUCCCAAUCAAAAGCCUUUUGGACUUUCAACUGUUUGUACUAUUUACAACAUCAACAGAGCAACGUCAAGACCAUAAAAAUAAUUAAUACACCUUAUCAGCAGGGCCGCGCAGAGGGGAGGGAGUUGGGGGGUUAAGGGGGGCAUGGGUAUGGCAUACCACUUGAAGCCACCUAUGACGUGGAGGCAUUGGCAUUACUGUUUGUAUUUUUACCCGGUGUGUGUUGCAUGGUCAACGAUCGUACGGUAGAUCCGAUCCGAUUCGAUGGCAAAGAAUUCCCCCUUUCGGUGUAAUUACUUUUGGUUUGGUCGAGUCGAAAGUCGGCCCGAACCGAACCUAAUGAUAAUACCCGCGAUCUAAUAGGGAGCACGUGAUGCGCAUACAGCCCACCGAUCAUUAAGAAGCAGCGGUGCACUUCGAAAAACCCCCGGCUCUGAAUCAUAUAUAUAAUCUGCAAAGCUACUGUUUGAAUUCACAAUAUCUGUCAUUUUUCAGUUGACAAAAAAGAGGAUAACCAUUUCUGCGGCUUUUUCCUUUGCACCAAGAUAUUUUAUAUCUUUUGAAAACUUCCCAAUUCAAUACCACAUUUUCUCCGAGUGCACCUGUGGGAGGCGGAAUGGAAUGGAAUCGGAAUCGAGCUGUAGACCACAGACUAGAGACCAGACCCCUGGCUAGACAAAUUGCACAUAAUUUCUACUCGAGUGAGCGCGGUCAGCCGGCAAAAAGUGCACCGAACCUGCCCAAAACAACGGCACCGGGAUGGAUGGUAAUGCGGACUUGGAUGGAGGGAAAGAUAUGGCCGGGGGCUAUAUAGUACUGCUACCACUCGGGUUGGUUAGACGUCGGAAAAAAGACGUCGUCGACGCCGCACCGGGAGGAUCCCAGCCAUUUCAUGAAAAAUUAUGUCGUGUACAAUUUUAUGCAUGAGAGACUUGCACAGCAGCAAAAACUGGGCAGCGAAAAAACUUGGCAAAAUUAACAGUGGCUCGUCAGUUGCAGUUGCAUUUGCACGGUGGUGCCGUUGGUGGUGCAGUCGGUGGUGCAGUGGCCGCCAGGUUGGAGAUAAGCCGCUGACGCUGACGCCGCUGCAAAUGGGCACACGCACACUCGAGAGCCAUCAACUGCAACUGCAACUGCCACUGCAAUUGCAAUGAGGAGCUACCGUGGGGCAUGAAUAUUGGGAAAAGCUGGGCUGCAAGUGUGGCUCUUGGACUUCAACAUAUAAGUGUUUUUGUAAAGAAAAGACAGGAUUUAUAUAACAGAUUUAUGGAGGAUAAUUAAGAAGCCAGAAAAGGCAAGACUUGAAGUGGAUAAACAGUUGGAAACAAUAUAAAUAAAAUUGUAUUUAUUAUAAAGAAAUAAAAAGAGAUAAUUGAGUCAUUAAUAAAAUUAACAUAGGAUCAAAAAUUUAAACAAUGCUUUUAAAUUUGUCCAUUGCCAAUUGAUUUUGCUCCACUUUGCCCAGAAAACGAAGGCUGUCGGCAUGUUGCAUUAGCAUACAAGUGUUGGGCAGCGCCAUAAAGUCGCACAAUUGAAAGAAGAAAAAAAUAGCGGCAGUAGUGACAACAAUUGGCCCGCUAACGAACCGACCGACGGACGCCGCCCCACCCACCAUUCCACCCGUCCACCAGUCCCCAUUUCCCUCCUGAAUGAACCCGAUGAUAAUGAUGCGCAGGAGGAUGAGGGGCAGGAACCGGAGCAGGAGUGGAUAUGGAUAUGGAAAUGGAAGUGGAAGAAAGCGCAGUCGAGCGUCUUGCAUCUUGCCACGCCACCCCGACCCAAAUUCCAGUUGGAUGCACUGGCCACCGCCAGCCUUUGUAUCCGUAGUUUCCGUAGUAUCUGUAUCUGUAUCUAUGUCUGUGUCUAUGACCAACCGCUAAUAGCUUUAGAAGCGAAAAAUGAAUGGUUUUAUAGUUAGUAUAAGCUAGUUGUACUGGAAAAGAAUGCUGAUAAAUCUAUGUUUUAAUUUGUUUUUUAAAUAAGGUAAGACUUAAUUUAAAACUAGUUUUCUUUUCUUAAAAAUAUAUUUGGGAUUAUUAUUGUUGACCUUUCAGACAAGACAAGACUAUGACAAGGUGCUAAGGAAAAAUCUUUCUGGAAACCUGGGAGAUGCGAUAUUUAGCCAAAUAAAGAAUAGUUAUGAAAAGCCAUAAAAUCCAUGUGAACUGGGAAACCCAAGAGUGGAACUAGCUAGAAAGUAUCACACCCUCUUUUCUGUUUAGCACGAACAGCACAUACCCUGUUCUAUGGCAUUCCACAGAAGGCGGAUGCAGAAAAACGUGGGGCGACCAAGAGCUCUCUCUUCUCUUGGUUGGCAUAAUAAUAGCACAUUCCUCGGCUAACAAACUGGCUGCAAUCGGAUGUGGAUGUGGAUGUGGCCAAGUAGGAGUCGCCGUCGCCGUCGUCGUCAUCGUCGUCGUUGGAGUUUGGAAUCUGCUCCAAAUGUGGGCGUCGCUGGGGCACUACUACAAAAUACCCUAGCCCCUCCUGCCCCUAUUCGCGUGGCCCCCGCUGUCAACGCAUGAUUUGCUUCCCGCUUGCAUGUCCGGAUCUGAUGUAUUAAUGACAUUUGGCCCAGUUUCGGUGCCUCCGCCAUGUAAAAUGCAGCGUGGGGGGAUCAGGGAUGGGGGGACUGCGACUGCGACUGCGAAUGGAGGAGGCUCAUUCAUAUUCAUAAAUUUAACGUCUUUUUACGUAAGCCUCGCAACGGAAGUAGUGCCCCUCCCACAAUCGCCACUUUCUGAGACCCAUUCAUUCGCCCUUUUUCGCAGCCAAAGCCAAAGCAGCCAGACAAUGUGCCGCUCUAUUUUCGAUGCAUUCCCAGCCAGAAAAAGUCAGACACACACAAAACGACAGAGACGGCAAUAGGGAGUGCGAAAGAGACGGGGCAGGGGGGCAGUAGCUAAAGUUCAAAGCACUAUUGAACUCGGGGGCCCAACAAAAACAAACUCCACCAAACACUUUCGCCAUAAAUAGCCGCAAGUGGAAGCGGGACAGGAGGCAUGGGUUUUAUCAACGGAAGCCAAAGUGGGGAUAUAUAUAGAGGAUAUAUGGCGGGGGGAUAGGGGGAUGGGGGGUUGGCUGGGGGCCUGAAGAAGUGAAAACAAAAGUGACUAAUGCGAGUGUGCGAGCAUUUCCGCUCACUUCCGGUGCGUACAAAUGAGGAAGUGCUGCCAACUGCAUUUUUGGAGUGGCCAACAAACAAGCACACAGAAAGAAAAACUGGUAUCAUAUAAAACAGCGAUAAAUGUUACGGUUUUACCUAUAGUUUUGUAACCAAUUGGAAAUGUAAAAGACGUCGCACAUAAAUUAAUACGUCUUUAAAGAACAAAAUUUAUGUUGUGUUAGGUUGCAUUACAAGUUGAUAAAAACAAAAAAAUGUAUUUUAGAAACAGAAGCUUGAAUCAAAAAUAAUGAAACGAAGAAAUCAUUUGGAUAUUGUUUUCUCAAUGAAAUGUAAUGAAAAAUUUAAAAACAUUUUUUUCCGUGCAAAAUGGGGAGGGGUAAGGGAAGAAGCAGCAGCUGAAGGGCCUUAGUAGGCAGAAGACUCGGCUGCUGAUGAACAAGAAGUUCCGAACGCCGGAGCUAUAAAUAAAACCCAAGCCAAAAGCCGCCAGGCCGGAAAUAAUGUGACCAAAACCAAACUGACGAACCAAAUACGAGGUUGCAUGUGUGGGUGGGUGCAUGUGUGUUCGUGUGUGGGUGAGAUAGUGUGAGAGCGAGAGUGUGUGGACCUCGUUCAUUCAUAACUGUAUGAGGUAUAUAAUCACAGUUGUGGGCAAACUAGUAGUGAAUAGUAGUGAAUGGGGAAGUAACAAACUAGAUACGACUUAAUAUAUAACUAUCAAAGUAAUUAAAAGUAAAAUCUAUAUCACAAAAAUAUAUUAAUUGUUGUUACUUUAUCAAUAAGAUAUAAAAUCCAAAUCAAUUUAAUCAGUUACUUAAACUUUUGUAACUGAAUUUCUUCUGCAGUGAACAACCUUUACUUUUCAGUUCAAAGUAGUGCCACAUUAUAUUUAAUUUUUGGGUUACAGUCCAAGUAAUAUCCCCUACCGGAAAUAGGUAUAAUUGAGCUUUUAUUAUUAUUUUAUUACCACAAUGUUGAACUCGAACCUAUAAUGUAAAUAAUCGAAAUCAGCACACAAAGGCGCAUUGAGUUGGGAAGUGAUUCUCUGCUAUGUUCGGGGCGAUUGCGACAGUUUCAGAGUUUCAGAGCUCCCCCAUCCCCGGAUCAACGAUCGUAUUGAAUGGCUGACCCAUAACAAACAACGACAAACGACAGAGAUAAGGAUCCGUUCCGAACUUAUCAGUCAGUGCUCAAUGAAAUUUCAUUGAAAUUUGGAACGAAUCUAUAAAAUGCAUCGAAGCAAGCAUGGAGGGGUGGAGAAAUGAGGAAAUUGUGGAAAUGGAGACUGGAAACGGGAACCACGGUUUGAUUUUUGUCACAGAUAGCCCAAGAACACUGCAAGAAAUAGUAUUAUCUAUUAAAAACCACUCAGACUAACUAGAAUAUUCUGUUAAGUUCAUAACCUAUGAGUAAAUUUCUUCAUGUAAUAGUAUUUCUUUGAACUGAAAUGUAGGUUAAUGACUCAGAUUUAAAUAUAGCACAGACUUUUUAAUGACUAACAAUUAUUUAUAAAUAAUGAUUUAUUAAUCAUCCUUAUUAUUCAUCAUUUCAAAAAUAGCUGCUAAGUAGGCAACAAUAUUUAAAUUAAAGUGCAAUAUGAUAAUGCGUUGGUGUAAAAGUCUUAUUGAAUUAAGCUACACAUAGCAAUAACCUGAAAGUUGAUAACUAUAUUCAAUGUUUUUAAAUCUGACCCAAUUUACUUUAAUUUCUGAUAGUGAGAUGUCAAAAAUAAUGUGUUUUUUUCAGUGCAACAACGGCAGCAACAUAAACGCAUUUGUAGUUGCUGCUGCUGUUGUUGUUGUUGGAGCGAUGAAACGAAACGUCGACGUAGGCAGCGGCAGCGGCAGAGGCAGAGACCGUGGCAGAGGCGUGGGAGGAGGGUCGGUGAACAAGGGGCAUGGUGAGGGGGCGGUUGUUGUUGCUGCUGCAUGAAUUUAUGAAUGGAUGAAAUCGUAUUUGUGUGUGCGUGCCGUGGCAAUCGCCGCAUUUGUGAGAGUGUGUGUGCUGCGCUCGCAUUUAAUGAAUGAAAAUCGCAGACAGCGACCAAAACCUAAUAAACACAUGCACCCACACACACUCGCACUCACACUCACUCACACCCACACACUCACAUACACCCAUUAUAGUAGUAACGGAAGUAAACCGAACAACAACAAACACAACUAACUCAUUCAAGUCCAAAUGCGAGUGUCUAAAUAAGUCGCUUGAAUGCCCGCUUGAUUAUCAGCUACUUGCCCGGAUUAUAUAGGAUUUGAUAUGGCACAUGGUAUAUAGUAGAAUACUCAGCCACUUGAGCACCUCCUAUUUGUCUGAAUUGUCCUGAAUGAGUGAUAGUUAGGAUCUAUGUUACUCGAAAUAUGAAAACUUAACAAUUUGAAACUAUGAAAGGGUUUUUUGAUUAUGAAAUUUACAAUUUUUAUACAUUUUUUUACAAUUCGGAUUGGCUUUAUAAAUAUAUACUUGCAAAAUAUCUCUCCUCUGUUUAUGCAUUUUAAUAUCUACGCUUUUAAAAAGUUUAGAUACUGCUACUCAAGAUACUUAAACUUAUUUCUGUUUGUGGGAUGUUUGUUCUGGUGAACUACAUAUCUAAAUUAUCACAAAUUGUGAGCACGUUGAAUAGUAUUUCGCAAGUGAGCUCUGAGUGAACAGAAUUUCAAAACCCAGUGUAACUCACCAAAAAAGACUUACUAAUUACGCUUACUCACGAAGAAUUCUCCAGAACUCUUGGGACCCUUGGUAUUUAUAACGAUUAGAGAACAGCGGCGAUUCGAUAGUUCCCGGAAUAGGAAAUUAGAUUUGCACAUUUGCAGAUUGAGUCACAGACGACCUAUGAACCAGCCAACGACCAGCUCCUUAUCCAUAUGCAAAUAAUGCCAGAAGCGCCGAGAAUGGUUGUUCUUAGUCACUUUCGGGAGAAACUCGAUGAGUGCAUCUGAAGGGCCGCGAUCAACGACCUUCCCGCCGACAGAUUAGGAAUAUAUAUGGUCCGUAAAUAAAUAUGGAAAUGCCCAGAACAAUAAAAAAUCGCCAAAGCCCUCAAAACUUACUGAAAACUAUGACGCACGAACUGGGAAUAUAUCUGUGUACUUUGUGCAGGGCCUGGACUUUUACGAGUUGAUAGUAUUAAUGGAGAUGCGGCGUCGAUAAAAUUGCAAAACAACUGCCCAGAAGGGAAAGUGCCGUGGAAAUUGCGGCUGAAAAAAAAAAUCAUUGGCAAAUACGAGCGGCCAAAUGACGCACAACAACUUUACAAGGUUGUCUGCUGCGGCAAUGUAAAGGGGCGGUGGGUGGGUGGGUGGUGGGAGGCCAAUGUGUACGUCAUCGAGAGCUGAAUGAAAUCGAAAUUGGCUCGAGCCAUUUUACGUCAGAGCCGAAAAAGAAAAAAAUGGAAAGAAAACCAAACGUUUUCCAGCCAUAGCCGCGUUUUCCUCUCAGAUCUUGUUAAUAUUUGUUUGGCCGCGUAUUUGGAUUGCGAUUAUUUAUGCUGCUCGAUGACGUUCGAUUGUAAAAGACUUUGGCCAGCGCCUUAAUUGCGCCAACUGUGCGCCUAAUUAUGGCAGACACUGUGGCAGAGCGCGUUAUAUAGCCGUAUAGCCAUAUAGCUGGCUAAAAGGAAAGAUCCGUCGCGGCAUUUAUAAAUAAAUUGUUGUCUAUACGAAAAUAACUAAACGGAUCAUUAUCGUCAGACAUGUGCGACAGCGUCUGGUCAAUUAAAAGCCAUAAAAUGUCAUAAAGCAUCUGAGAUAUAGGGUGUCUACAAAAUUUUUGGCAAGUUCAAAUUCACAAAGAGUUCUGCAGAGCAAAUCUUGUUUAUUUCAGUAAUUAUUUUAACAUUUUACUGCCUUUAAGUUAUUAAAAGUUUAAUGAUUUGCCAAACGUAUACUUCAUAUUUUUAGGCUUUUAAGUUUAUAAACAUCUUAUUUCAUAUUUAAUUCAAGGUUUUUGAACAAAUGUGGUAAAUAAAUAACACUAUUUUUUUAUUCUUGUAAAACUAGACAAAUUGUUAAAGAAAGCUCAUAGUUAACCAAAGCGUAUACUUGAUAUUUUAAAACCUCUAUUUGGAAUUCAGGAAUGUGUUAUGAGUAAAACCCUAAAUUUAAAUUUAUUGUAAUUCAGGCAGCAAAACUCUAAACAAACUAUAAGUAAUGAAAUUUUAAUUACACAAAUUUAAAUUUCAUAUUUAAUUAAUGUUUAGUUGUGGAUUUCAUUUUUUUACUAAAAGUAACAUUUUUGAAAAGAAAGUAACGUGCUAAUUGGAGGCUUGGCUAACCAUUCCUGCCCUACCAAUUUGUAGUUAAAGUCUUAAUUUCUCUGCCAUUAUAGUUUGGUUCCCACAAAUUAAACGAAAUAUUCGUGUCAAAUCGAAUCGAUCAAUCACGAAUAUGGAAUAUGGAGCAUGUGGUUAAGUGCUUAACUUAAUUUGACCCCAGAAAACUAAAUUAUUUUAAUUCUUGGCUCGUGUUUUUUAAUCUGUAGCCUGAGAUCUUUUGUUUGCGAAUUUGGGUUAUUCGAUUUUUCGAUCAGAUUCGGACGACGAAUGAUAAAUGCGUAACACUCAAACUGGUUCAAUUUUGUGAAUACUUUGAUCUUGUUACCGCUGUUGUUGUUGUUGUUGUUGCCCUGCCACGGGCCGUGCCAAUCUUAAUUGCGCAUUUAAAUAUAAUAGAAAGAUAGAAACUACAAAAAAGAAAAAAAAAACUACAACACAACAAUAACUAUAAACACAGACACAUGGCGACCCGGUUGUCAGUCGGUCGAUGCGAACUUGAGGCUCGAAAAAGGCGCCUCCAAGUACAACAAUAACACUAACAACCAUAUAGAACUGGGUACCCCUGCCCCGAAGCCCCGAAAAAAAAACCCCUUCCGAAAAACUAUUUCGUGUCUGCCCAUCUGUAUCUGUAUCUGUCGGCUCUGUAUUGAAGCUGCGCAUAUUGCGCCUUGGUUAUUUAUUAUGUACUAUAUGGUAUGGACAAUACGCAAAGGGGCUGCGAAGGGGUUUUCGGGGGGCGAAAAACUCUUUUUGCGCACUAGUUUUCCCGCUCACCGAAUCCAAAUUGCCGCGGCGCUUUGGCAACCCUAAUGGGUUUCAAAUUACCCGAACCACACAAAAAAUAUUAAUAAUACUCGUCGUAAUAAUGAAAAACGAUGAUCAAUUAUCGAAUUAAGUGAAUUCAUUUAAAUGCACUCGAUCUCCGCUAACUGGGUUGCUGUAUUGAUUCGAAGAAUAUUAGAUAACAAUUUGAAUAACAGUUUAGUUUAGCAAAAUUCUUUACGUUUAUUCCUUAUUACCAUACAAUUUUUUUAAAAACCGAUAUUCUUUCGUUAAUUUUAUUUUUUUGUAAAAGCUUUUUUAUAAAAUGAUUCAAAAUUGUGUAUUACAAUUUAUGUUACAUUUUUUAAAAAAUUUUGUAAGUGGUUUUCUUUAUUCAAGUUUCCCUGUAAAUGGAUUAAUUCAAAUAACAGUAAAUGCCAGUCUGGCAACGCUCCGCGGAGAGGGAGAGCAAGGGCUAAAUUUAACAGCGAGAGAGUGAGAAUAAGCUCUCUCAUUUUCUCUUCCCCACUCGCUCUCUCACAUUUGCGGUGACGGUUGCGUAUACUUGAUAUUUUUUGGUUUAAGGACACAUGGCUGCGCCGCCGGCGUCGCAGUCGCUCUUCUUGUUUUCCUUUUUUUUAUUUUACUCAUUUUUUUUGUGAGGACUUGCAGUGGAACAGCUGUUUUGUGUUAUGGCAAACAGCUGUUCGUGUUGCACUCACAAGCACUCGCACACAUUUUCCCACACGUAAUAAUAACGAAAUAAAAUAAUUUUUUAAAUAAAUUGCAUUCAAUACUUACAAACAAAGGCCAUUAGACGGUGAUUAUAUAAGCACACUAUGCCGCCAGCCCUGACAGCUAAGUGAGAUGGUGUUGGUGUGUGUUGUUGAGUGUUGGUGUGUGUUUUUUUUUUUUUCGUUCAUUGGUGUUGGUGUGCGUGUGUGCCAGUUUAGUUAAAUGCUGAGCACACGCACUGAAAGACAGCAACUACAACAAUACAACAACAACAGCAACAACAACAAAUAUAACAACAACAAUAAGACUAGGCAGAUAGGCAAGUUUGCCUUUUAGUUGUUUCUGUAGUUUACUUUGUUGUUUUAUUUGUCGACAGCGGUCUGACUGGCUAGCUCUGGUCUGGUCCCCGCCCCCUCGAAGCCCCUCGUAACCCCCUCCCCACCUCCCUACCUAUAUGUCGUAUCUAAAACAUUUGCGCUUUAAAUAAAUACACAGAGGGUAUUAUAAAAAAAGGCAAAAGAAACGAGGCAAACUAGUCGCGUACAACAACAACUACAACGACAAAUUAGUUCAAUGCACGCCGCCAAAAGAGUGUGUAUAUAGGGCUUAUCAACUCUUAGCGGACCCAGACCUUUUUAAUGGGGUAUUUGUUUUGAUUUCUCCAUAAAAGUAUCUUCAAUCUUCUAGGCUCUUUCAUUGAUGUGCGUACAUCAGCCUAGGGCACAAUUUCAUUCAUCAUAUUGCCUUAAUCAUCAUCAGCGUUCGUAGUCUCGUUGUCACUGGUACAAAGUUCAUAUAUAUGUACAUAUAUAGAUGUACAUGCAAUCAAAUAAAAAUUUUUUGAUUGUAUAAGUUCACAGUUUCUUUGUGCGCCAUUUUUUGUUCUUUCUAAAUACAUAUAUACAUACGUAUGUAUAAGCGUUUCGGGUUCUUUAUUUGAAAUUUAUUUGGUGUUUUUUUUUGUAUUUACUUUUCCGCUUCUAAUUUUAAUUAUUCAGUUGCGAGGCUCAAAAGUCGCGAGCGAGUUUGUUUUUAAUUCUUGUUGUUGUCGCGUUUGUUGUUGUUGUUCCCCUAGUUUUGUUUCUCUCGUUUUGUUUUUUUCCUUUUUUCUUUUUUUGGUUUGUUAAAUACGUCGUUUAAGUUGCUCUUGGCUGGCUUGCUUUGUUUUCUUUGCAAC
Drosophila rhopaloa is the source of this 14982-nucleotide long non-coding RNA. RefSeq lists it as uncharacterized. The record is from RefSeq and is a predicted model, not a curated record. Lineage: Eukaryota; Metazoa; Arthropoda; Insecta; Diptera; Drosophilidae. The transcript is spliced from 2 exons.